GCCCGCGCCUGUCCCUGCACACUUCCCCGCAACUGAGGGAGCCGGCUCCCGCCUCGGCCAGCCCAGAAAGGGGCUCCCACAGUGCAGGGGCGGGCUGAAGGGCUCCUCAAGCGCGGCCAGAGUUGGCGCCAAGGCUGAGGAGGUGCCCAGAGCGAGCGAGGGCUGUGAGGGCUGCUUGCAGGCUGUCACCUCUCAAUAGCAGUUUUGUAUAUGGGAUCUAGCCCCUCCCUAAGAGGUUGAUUCUAAGGAAGCCAACAGCCGUGUUGUGAGUACCCAAUGGAUAGUCUGUUGUGGCAGAAAACUGAUGUCUCCAGCCAACAGCACUGAGGCCCUGAGACCUGCCAACAGUCAUGAUCUUCCGAUGCCUGGACACAGAAAGAGCAGUGGAAGGGGUCGCUGCAUGAGCAAAGACAAAGAGUGGGACACUGACUGUUACAUCUCAAGGAGAAGGAUUGCUGGAUCAAAAGUCUUGCACUUAACCAGGCGUGGUGGCAGAUACCUGUAAUCCCAGCUGUUUGGGAGGCUGAGGCAGGAGAAUCGCUUGUACCCGGGAGGCAGAGGUUGCAGUGAGCUGAGACAGCGCCAUUGACUCCUGCCUGGUGACAAGAGAGAAACUACGUCUCAACAACAACAACACGCUUGGGCACUGUGUUAACUCCAUAAUCGGUUUAUUUAUAAUGCUGCACCAUCCAACCAUCAUCCAACCUAUUUAUCAUUCACAAUGCCACCUGUGAAUACUGGCUUCCAUUGACUCUUUCAAGAAUUGCUACUGGGCCUCACUGAUGUUGACCACAAAUGCAAGUCAUACUGAGAGCCUCUGUGCUCUUUGCCCUGUGGAGAAUAACUACCCUGGACGCCCAUUGUUUUCAUCCUGGACACCCAUUGUUUUCCUGGACCACACCUUGUUAUGACCAUAACCAUCUGUCAGACUCAACCUUCCUUCAAGAUCUGCAGAUCUAAAUUUUAUUGGGAACAGCCAGUUUGACAAGCAUAGACCAGAUGUCCAGUUGUCAUUCAUUCAGCAGGAGCAGCAAGAUUCAAUCAUGUUUUUAUUAUAUUAUUUCCUGAAACUUGUGGCUAUAACCAUGAAGUUUGAGGAUUUGUCUGUGUAAGUAUGGCAGAAGUGAUGUUAACUCACUUAUGAGAUUAGGGUAUAAAAGACCGAGGCUUCCAUGCUUCCAUCUUGGUCUCUCUCUCUCAAAGAACAGCCAUGUGAAUGAUCGUUCUUGAAGGUAAAUCUUCCAGCCCCAGUCCAGUAUUCAAAUUAUCCAGCAACAUUGCAACUUAUGAGAGACCUUGAGCCAUCCAGCUAACAUGCUUCGAAAUCCUGACCCUCAAAACCUGUAAAAUAAUAAAUGUGGUUUUAAACUCUUAAGUAAUUUGUUACAUAGUAAUAAAUAGCUAAUACACC
RNAcentral lists this long non-coding RNA (1411 nucleotides) under Pongo abelii (Sumatran orangutan). RNAcentral's name for it is "lincRNA". Lineage: Eukaryota; Metazoa; Chordata; Mammalia; Primates; Hominidae. The record is from RNAcentral.